This is a small nucleolar RNA of Arachis duranensis, 108 nucleotides long. NCBI's taxonomy places the organism in Eukaryota, Viridiplantae, Streptophyta, Magnoliopsida, Fabales, Fabaceae. The record is from RefSeq and is a predicted model, not a curated record.
AAACAUAUUAGGGGGGCAUUUCCUUGUCAAAUCCUUGAAUCUCUUCCAAGCUUCAUAAAGAGUCUCACCAUUCUGCUGUCUGAAUGUUUGUAGUUCCGUUCUCAGCCU